CAGUGUGUCUACCGCAUCUGGCUCGUUGAGAAACUUGGCUUAGGUAAGAGGUCGGACAAUGUCUUAAGAUUGUCGGAAGACAGUCCCAUGCGAAAUGUUGAGUGCUCCCGCACUUGAGGCAGGAGUUGUUAAGAUGAUGGUAGGGGCGAUCACCGUGAUCCUUCUCGCCGUGACGACAGGAUUGGGUAAACUGGACGGGAUUACCAAGAGGUGGGUGAGGGGUAAAGAUAGGUACAAUGCGAGGUCUCUUCUCGACGCAGUCGGAGUUAGGGCUAGUAAAUCUCUUCCUAUGUUGUUGUUGUUGCUCCUGCUGAGUACGUAAAUGAGAGAUAUGUUGUUGUCAAGCCGCAACAAGUUCUUCGAACAU
This 367-nucleotide long non-coding RNA is filed under the name Carica papaya (papaya). RNAcentral describes it as "long non-coding RNA (CPAP_LNC011486)". The record is from RNAcentral. Lineage: Eukaryota; Viridiplantae; Streptophyta; Magnoliopsida; Brassicales; Caricaceae.